Molecule: non-coding RNA, 118 nt
Organism: Drosophila pseudoobscura pseudoobscura
Lineage: Eukaryota; Metazoa; Arthropoda; Insecta; Diptera; Drosophilidae
Source: Rfam
ACGGAAUUUUACGUAUUCAUCCGUUUUGUCUGUAUCGCGAAGUUUGGAGUCGUUUUUGUUGAAGCGAUUCCACGCAUUUUUUGAGUGCUGAUAUUUUGGCUUGAAAAUAAGAGGCCGU